This 332-nucleotide long non-coding RNA is filed under the name Gossypium barbadense (sea-island cotton). RNAcentral's name for it is "long non-coding RNA (GBAR_LNC017552)". Lineage: Eukaryota; Viridiplantae; Streptophyta; Magnoliopsida; Malvales; Malvaceae. The record is from RNAcentral.
GACAAAAUAAAAAAGUCGACACUAAAUCAAUAGAAAUACAACAAUACACCCACAAAAUCAAGAACAUGGGCAAAGAAAAAAGGAGAGAUGGUUUCAAUUAUAGGUAUUUCCUAGGAACGUUCAGGACUUUGAAAUUAUGAGGCAAAGAUCAUCACUAUAUCAAGAAGGCAAAGCGUUUGAUAGGUCGAACUCACAAUUUUUGUUUUGUAGACCUACACAUCUGAUGGAAUUUUUAAGAAAAACUUAUUAGGAAUACGAAAAGAGGAGGUUUAGAGGAAGCUAUAGAUGAAAUUUAGAGUAAAUCGGGGUUAGGGAGGUGGUAGUACUGGGCG